RNAcentral lists this ribosomal RNA (301 nucleotides) under uncultured bacterium. RNAcentral's name for it is "partial 16S ribosomal RNA". It matches the Rfam family "Bacterial small subunit ribosomal RNA", at positions 509 to 808 of the family's 1533-position model. The record is from RNAcentral.
CAGUCGCCACGGUAAUACGUAGGGGGCAAGCGUUGUCCGGAAUUAUUGGGCGUAAAGCGCGCGCAGGCGGUUCUUUAAGUCUGGUGUAUAAGUGCGGGGCUCAACCCCGUGAGGCACUGGAAACUGGGGAACUUGAGUGCAGAAGAGGAGAGCGGAAUUCCACGUGUAGCGGUGAAAUGCGUAGAGAUGUGGAGGAACACCAGUGGCGAAGGCGGCUCUCUGGACUGUAACUGACGCUGAGGCUCGAAAGCGUGGGUAGCGAACAGGAUUAGAUACCCCGGUAGUCCCUGUCUCUUAUACA